RNAcentral lists this ribosomal RNA (508 nucleotides) under uncultured bacterium. RNAcentral describes it as "partial 16S ribosomal RNA". It matches the Rfam family "Bacterial small subunit ribosomal RNA", at positions 28 to 523 of the family's 1533-position model. The record is from RNAcentral.
GAUGAACGCUAGCUACAGGCUUAACACAUGCAAGUCGAGGGGAAACGAUAUUGGAAGCUUGCUUCCGAUAGGCGUCGACCGGCGCACGGGUGAGUAACGCGUAUCCAACCUGCCCACCACUUGGGGAUAACCUUGCGAAAGUAAGACUAAUACCCAAUGACGUCUCUAGAAGACAUCUGAAAGAGAUUAAAGAUUUAUCGGUGAUGGAUGGGGAUGCGUCUGAUUAGCUGGUUGGCGGGGUAACGGCCAACCAAGGCGACGAUCAGUAGGGGCUCUGAGAGGAAGGUCCCCCACAUUGGAACUGAGACACGGUCCAAACUCCUACGGGAGGCAGCAGUGAGGAAUAUUGGUCAAUGGGCGAGAGCCUGAACCAGCCAAGUAGCGUGCAGGAUGACGGCCCUAUGGGUUGUAAACUGCUUUUAUAAGGGAAUAAAGUGAGUCUCGUGAGACUUUUUGCAUGUACCUUAUGAAUAAGGACCGGCUAAUUCCGUGCCAGCAGCCGCCGUAA